RNAcentral lists this transfer RNA (71 nucleotides) under Aegolius funereus (boreal owl). RNAcentral's name for it is "tRNA-Glu". Lineage: Eukaryota; Metazoa; Chordata; Aves; Strigiformes; Strigidae. The record is from RNAcentral.
GUUUCUAUAGUUAAGGUGAUUAACGGUGGUUUUUCAGGCCACAGACCUUGGGUAGUGCCCAAGUGGGAACU